This 223-nucleotide unclassified non-coding RNA is filed under the name uncultured Gammaproteobacteria bacterium. Its description in RNAcentral is "contains 16S-23S intergenic spacer region". The record is from RNAcentral. Lineage: Bacteria; Pseudomonadati; Pseudomonadota; Gammaproteobacteria.
UCCGGUUUGUCACCGGCAGUCCCAUUAGAGUGCCCAACUGAAUGUGGCAACUAAUGGCAAGGGUUGCGCUCGUUGCGGGACUUAACCCAACAUCUCACGACACGAGCUGACGACAGCCAUGCAGCACCUGUGUCCAGGUUCCCUUUCGGGCACCCCCCCAUCUCUGGGGGGUUCCUGGCAUGUCAAGGGUAGGUAAGGUGGGGAUGACGUGAGCCUAUCGAGA